Molecule: long non-coding RNA, 602 nt
Filed under: Monodelphis domestica (gray short-tailed opossum)
Lineage: Eukaryota; Metazoa; Chordata; Mammalia; Didelphimorphia; Didelphidae
Description: lncRNA (ENSMODG00000030036.2)
Source: RNAcentral
GGAAAGUGCUUUGAAUAGGUGGCUUUCAAUCCACACUUACUACCUUUGUACCGAGAUCUCUCUGACGCCAGUCAUCCAGCUUUUUGAUAUGGGCUGAAGCAGGCAGUGGCCACAUCAGAAUGGCCGGGGAUCCAAAACGCACAGGUUACACGGUAUAUAUCUGUGAGUUUUGACUAUGAUCGCAUCAUGCUGCCAGGGAUUCUCUUCUUUCUGUUGAAUUGGGUUGAGACGAUCAUGAACUCACACAAGGAGAAUAGUCAUUGCAUCAUGCUAAUGUUUGUCAUCUCCCUUUGAAGAGAUGAUAGGUUCAUCCAAGUGUAACACUGAUGAGGUGGUUUUCUACACACUCAAGAGAUCCAUUUGGGGUGAGAGAGGAAAAUUAGAAGACUAAUAAGACUCGCCUAAGUCUAACUCUCUGUGUGACUGGAAGGAUCAGAGUAGAGAAGACCCUACUACAAAACAUCAGAUGGGUGAUGGCCUUGCUUCCUGAAAAUGCUGAAUACAUUUGGACAAAAGUCGCAGAGAUUGAUGGGCUGAUACAAUGCUCCAAAUUCCCAGAUCAUUUUACAGAUGAGGCAACUGAGAUAAACAAGGCUAUGUGA